Long non-coding RNA from Xiphophorus hellerii (green swordtail), 1017 nucleotides. RefSeq lists it as uncharacterized. The record is from RefSeq and is a predicted model, not a curated record. Lineage: Eukaryota; Metazoa; Chordata; Actinopteri; Cyprinodontiformes; Poeciliidae. The transcript has 3 exons.
GUGCGCUCUCAGUCAGUAGCAGCCUGCAUGUGUGAGGCACAGGAUGCUGCUCAGUCCGCCCUAAUAUAGGGGACACUUUGUUGCAUUAAUAAUCGGCGAGUUCAUUGGAGGUAAUACAGCUAUCGAUGUAAUUUAGAUAACAUUUCCAAAGGAGGACCUGAAGAGCAUAAAUGAAUGGAGUUAGCCCAAUGAGCAAGAAAAUGUUGUCAGUGCUGCUCCAGAAGGAUGCAUUAGCCAGCGUUGAAGAAAAUCUGCCAGUAAACAGGAUGAGGAGCGACUGUCAGCCUGCAGAUGGAAACAAGGGUGGGUGGCUGGAAGGCUGGAUAAAGGCUGGUGGAUGACUGAACCUGGCGACCCAGUGCAGCUCAUCAUCAUUGCCGGGGGCCUCUCGUCUUCUUCCUCGUCUCCCAUGGCUCGUACCUCCAUCCAGGGGUCUAGCAGAGCCCAGCGAAGCCCAGCCGGGGAGCUAGUGAGUGGGCUGGGAAGGAUGGGAAAGGUCCCUGAAGGCAAAAAUCACCUCUGGAGCUAUCAGCGUGCUAGAGAAAUCGAUAUGAAACACAGAAUCUUCACAGCUUUGAGUGGGGUUUCCUGUGUUUUUAAGUGUGUGGCCUGGAGGCCCUGCAGACCUGCAAAGGACAUCCCCUGCGUGUCUCUAUCAGCUUCAGCCCCAGCUCCUUCUCUGGACCUGAGCCCUGAUCUCCACUGGCUGUGUGUGGUUCUGCUGAAGGGUGUUUCUCCCCAAAUGAUACCCAGAGUUUUAAAAGACCGCUCUGAGGCAUAUUCCCCCCACCCACCCGUCACGAGAUUGACACAUCCCACCACCUUCUGCCUCUGGCAACCAGCUUGGAAGUUCUGCCUUUGACUCACUCUCCAUCUUCAGCUCAUCCGCGGCUUAUUCCCCAACUAGUUUUCACAUUUGACAAACAGACACUGCGAUCUUUAUUUUCCACCUCCACUCUUGGCUCACACUUCCAAUGAUGAGCUCCAGACAGAUGUCUUUCAAAAGCAGACACACCG